Molecule: ribosomal RNA, 490 nt
Filed under: uncultured bacterium
Lineage: Bacteria
Description: partial 16S ribosomal RNA
Rfam family: Bacterial small subunit ribosomal RNA
Source: RNAcentral
AUUGAACGCUGGCGGCAGGCCUAACACAUGCAAGUCGAACGGUAACAGGAAGAAGCUUGCUUCUUUGCUGACGAGUGGCGGACGGGUGAGUAAUGUCUGGGAAACUGCCUGAUGGAGGGGGAUAACUACUGGAAACGGUAGCUAAUACCGCAUAACGUCGCAAGACCAAAGAGGGGGACCUUCUGGCCUCUUGCCAUCGGAUGUGCCCAGAUGGGAUUAGCUAGUAGGUGGGGUAACGGCUCACCUAGGCGACGAUCCCUAGCUGGUCUGAGAGGAUGACCAGCCACACUGGAACUGAGACACGGUCCAGACUCCUACGGGAGGCAGCAGUGGGGAAUAUUGCACAAUGGGCGCAAGCCUGAUGCAGCAAUGCCGCGUGUAUGAAGAAGGCAUACGGGUUGUAAAGUACUUUCAGCGGGGAGGAAGGGAGUAAAGUUAAUACCUUUGCUCAUUGACGUUACCCGCAGAAGAAGCACCGGCUAACUCCGUG